RNAcentral lists this ribosomal RNA (374 nucleotides) under uncultured prokaryote. Its description in RNAcentral is "bacterial SSU rRNA". It matches the Rfam family "Bacterial small subunit ribosomal RNA", at positions 524 to 896 of the family's 1533-position model. The record is from RNAcentral.
UACAGAGGUGGCAAGCGUUGUUCGGAAUUACUGGGCGUAAAGGGCGCGUAGGCGGCCUUCUAAGUCGGACGUGAAAGCCCCAGGCUUAACCUGGGAACUGCGUCCGAUACUGGGAGGCUUGGAUUCGGGAGAGGGAUGUGGAAUUCCAGGUGUAGCGGUGAAAUGCGUAGAUAUCUGGAGGAACACCGGUGGCGAAGGCGGCAUCCUGGACCGAGAUCGACGCUGAGGCGCGAAAGCUAGGGGAGCAAACGGGAUUAGAUACCCCGGUAGUCCUAGCCCUAAACGAUGAAUGCUUGGUGUGGCGGGUAUCGAUCCCUGCCGUGCCGAAGCUAACGCAUUAAGCAUUCCGCCUGGGGAGUACGGUCGCAAGGCUG